GAUCCUGGCUCAGGAUGAACGCUAGCGACAGGCUUAACACAUGCAAGUCGAGGGGCAGCAUGAUAAGUAGCAAUACUUAUUGAUGGCGACCGGCGCACGGGUGAGUAACGCGUAUGCAACUUACCUAUCAGAGGGGGAUAGCCCGGCGAAAGUCGGAUUAAUACUCCAUAAAACAGGGGUUCCGCAUGGGACUAUUUGUUAAAGGUUCAUCGCUGAUAGAUAGGCAUGCGUU
Molecule: ribosomal RNA, 232 nt
Filed under: uncultured bacterium
Lineage: Bacteria
Description: partial 16S ribosomal RNA
Rfam family: Bacterial small subunit ribosomal RNA
Source: RNAcentral